ACUCUUGUGGCAGCUGUGCUUCACAUCCCACAGAACACCAGUGCCUUGGGGUACCUAGGCCAGGGCCUGGCACACAUUUUUGUUUUAAAUACUGAACAGAGGGAUAUUGAGUCCAUCCACAAGUACUGGUUCAGUGUGUCUCCCCACAGCCAACCUCCAGUGCCAGUUCAUAUUGGUGAGACUCAGCAACCAACUUGGUUUGCAAAGUGACCCCAUCAGACAGGAAGGACAUUGCCUUCCUAACAGCAAAUGAGAAACGACGGAGCCUUGGACUUUUUUUUUUUUUUUAAUAUUUCAUAGCAUGACAUCCAGGUCAGACCCAGCUGCUUUUGAGUCCCGCCUGGAGAAACGCAGUGAAUUUCGGAAGCAGCCAGUGGGGCAUUCCAGGCAAGGUGAUUUUAUCAAAUGUGUGGAACAGAAGGGUGGUGCACAGAACAAACUGGUGUAGGAGAGGCCAGCACCAGGGAGAAUAUGGAGUAAUCCAGGUGUGGGCUGCAGAAGCCUGAAUUAAGACAGAUGCCUUGGGGAAACAGUCUGUGAACAGAG
Molecule: small RNA, 546 nt
Filed under: Pongo abelii (Sumatran orangutan)
Lineage: Eukaryota; Metazoa; Chordata; Mammalia; Primates; Hominidae
Description: processed transcript
Source: RNAcentral